UUCCGGUUGAUCCUGCCGGAGGUUACUGCUAUCGGUGUUCGCCUAAGCCAUGCGAGUCAUAUGUUCUUCGUGAACAUGGCGUACUGCUCAGUAACACGUGGAUAACCUGCCCUUGGGUCUGGCAUAACCCCGGGAAACUGGGGAUAAUAUUGGAUAACGCACAUAUGCUGGAAUGCUUUAUGCGUAAAAUGGAUUCGUCUGCCCAAGGAUGGGUCUGCGGCCUAUCAGGUAGUAGUGGGUGUAAUGUACCUACUAGCCGACAACGGGUACGGGUUGUGAGAGCAAGAGCCCGGAGAUGGAUUCUGAGACAUGAAUCCAGGCCCUACGGGGCGCAGCAGGCGCGAAAACUUUACAAUGCGGGAAACCGUGAUAAGGGGACACCGAGUGCCAGCAUCAUAUGCUGGCUGUCCGGGUGUGUAAAAUACACUCGUUAGCAAGGGCCGGGCAAGACCGGUGCCAGCCGCCGCGGUAACACCGGCGGCCCGAGUGGUGAUCGUGAUUAUUGGGUCUAAAGGGUCCGUAGCCGGUUUGGUCAGUCCUCCGGGAAAUCUGAUAGCUCAACUAUUAGGCUUUCGGGGGAUACUGCCAGACUUGGAACCGGGAGAGGUAAGAGGUACUACAGGGGUAGGAGUGAAAUCUUGUAAUCCCUGUGGGACCACCUGUGGCGAAGGCGUCUUACCAGAACGGGUUCGACGGUGAGGGACGAAAGCUGGGGGCACGAACCGGAUUAGAUACCCGGGUAGUCCCAGCCGUAAACGAUGCUCGCUAGGUGUCAGGCAUGGCGCGACCGUGUCUGGUGCCGCAGGGAAGCCGUGAAGCGAGCCACCUGGGAAGUACGGCCGCAAGGCUGAAACUUAAAGGAAUUGGCGGGGGAGCACAACAACGGGUGGAGCCUGCGGUUUAAUUGGAUUCAACGCCGGA
RNAcentral lists this ribosomal RNA (921 nucleotides) under uncultured Methanosarcina sp. RNAcentral describes it as "bacterial SSU rRNA". It matches the Rfam family "Archaeal small subunit ribosomal RNA", at positions 1 to 922 of the family's 1478-position model. Lineage: Archaea; Methanobacteriati; Methanobacteriota; Methanomicrobia; Methanosarcinales; Methanosarcinaceae. The record is from RNAcentral.